UACGAAGGGGGCUAGCGUUGCUCGGAAUCACUGGGCGUAAAGGGUGCGUAGGCGGGUCUUUAAGUCAGGGGUGAAAUCCUGGAGCUCAACUCCAGAACUGCCUUUGAUACUGAGGAUCUUGAGUUCGGGAGAGGUGAGUGGAACUGCGAGUGUAGAGGUGAAAUUCGUAGAUAUUCGCAAGAACACCAGUGGCGAAGGCGGCGACCUGGGUAGAUACUGACGCUGAGGCGCGAAAGCGUGGGGAGCAAACAGG
This 253-nucleotide ribosomal RNA is filed under the name uncultured bacterium. RNAcentral's name for it is "partial 16S ribosomal RNA". It matches the Rfam family "Bacterial small subunit ribosomal RNA", at positions 524 to 776 of the family's 1533-position model. The record is from RNAcentral.